RNAcentral lists this ribosomal RNA (257 nucleotides) under uncultured Scutellospora. RNAcentral describes it as "partial 18S ribosomal RNA". It matches the Rfam family "Eukaryotic small subunit ribosomal RNA", at positions 624 to 886 of the family's 1831-position model. Lineage: Eukaryota; Fungi; Glomeromycota; Glomeromycetes; Diversisporales; Gigasporaceae. The record is from RNAcentral.
AAGCUCGUAGUUGAAUUUCGGGGUUCUACCGUUGGUCGGGCUAACCAGUCUAUACUAGCGUGUAGAAUUCUUACCUUCUGGGGAACCAUCAUGUUAUUAAUUUAGCGUGGUAGGAAACCAGGACCUUUACCUUGAAAAAAUUAGAGUGUUCAAAGCAGGCUUACGUCUGAAUACAUUAGCAUGGAAUAAUAAAAUAGGACGGUGGUCCUGUUUUGUUGGUUUCUGAAUCACCGUAAUGAUUAAUAGGGAUAGUUGGG